UACGUAGGGUGCAAGCGUUGUUCGGAAUUACUGGGCGUAAAGGGCUCGUAGGCGGCCAACUAAGUCCGACGUGAAAUCCCCAGGCUUAACCUGGGAACUGCGUCGGAUACUGGAUGGCUUGAAUUCGGGAGAGGGAUGCAGAAUUCCAGGUGUAGCGGUGAAAUGCGUAGAUAUCUGGAGGAAUACCGGUGGCGAAGGCGGCAUCCUGGACCGACAUUGACGCUGAUGAGCGAAAGCUAGGGGAGCAAACGGG
Molecule: ribosomal RNA, 253 nt
Filed under: uncultured bacterium
Lineage: Bacteria
Description: partial 16S ribosomal RNA
Rfam family: Bacterial small subunit ribosomal RNA
Source: RNAcentral